GAGAGGGGGUAGGGGGGUGGGAGGGUGAGAGGCGCGUUUAAUACAACUGGACCCCGAUUGGCGGAUGCGUGCGAGGGGUUAGGGGUGAGAGGAAGACAGCGUUUUAUUCGAAAUUAUCCGCACUUAUCGUAUGAAUGUAUAUUUUUGAGCGAUCGUUUCCAUAAACGAGCGGAUAUAUUUAUUUAUUUAUUUAUUUGGUUUUUUUUUUAAAUCGCUGCAGGUUGUGAAAAAAGUUGAGCGCAAAUUACAACGUCGAAGAAUUUUUUUUUAUAUUUCUCAUAAGUGCGAAGAAUUUUUUUUAUUGUUUCUCUUCCUGUGUUGGUAGAUAAUUCGGUAAAUAAAAUUUUAUUGGUAACCGACAUUUUUUAUUUCCUAUUAGUAGUGAAUUAUGUAUUGACAUGCUCGGGUAUAUUGUGUCGGCACUAUGGGAACGGUCUGCGUGACAAUAUUUGACACUGUUAGACACGUAUAAAUAAACCUCGUCACGGGUGUUAAACAAUAAGGUACACAUAAUAUGCGUGAUAGCAUGCUACAUGUGUCUGGCGAGAAUGGAGGGAUUGGUUUAGGCGACUUAUCGUUUUGUCAUUCUGGUAGACACUGCCGGAACCAGCAGCGACAAGGUCCCGUAAUCAUGAACGUGUCAACUAAUUACGACAGGAACGUAAGUGUUAAGGGAUGAUUUAGCCCUGACAUCCCUCCCACUGGUGCGCAAAACAAUCAUCGACCCAGGAUUUUUAUCUAUCUCAAACCUUCUCCGGAGUGAUAAGCUAGUGAUAACGAAUUUCAAUGGCACCUUCCCCUCUGCGUAUGAAAAAUAGCGCGGGGUAAUUUCGGAAAAGUGAGUGUUUUUUUUCCUGAAAAAAAGCUCGAGAUGAAUAAGUGUGCUCUACGCGUGUCGUCGCUCAGUGAUUGGAAUAAACCCCUGGGGGACACUUUAAAUGGCCUCUUCUCGUGUGAAUGGUUUUUCUCACGGUUAAAACGAACGUCAGGUGCGCAAGGACCUACGCCUUCAGGAAGUAACAACGGUUCCUUACAAGGAUUCGCAACUUGUGUGCGUUAUAGACUCAUCUUUCUUCCCACGCUCUGAGACCGUUUCUAACGGACAAAAUUUCGAGUGUUUCUUGUUUAGUAAAGUGGAAGAAGUGAGGGACGAGGGAGAGAGAAAAAAAAAAUGAAGGGGGAAAGAAUCUCAGGCAAAAAAUGGCGGUGUGGUUUUGACAUAUGUGUUCAACUCCAUUUUUUUCCCCCUCUACCAUUCAAUUUUUUCUUCGUCUAUCUCAGGAAACUUCUAUUUUAAGAAUGUCCAAGUAAUUUGGAUAUUUUUUUCCUUCACUGAAAUCCAGAGCUUUUACUUGAGCCGCAAAGUCUUCCCCUGAUUUUAUUUUAAACAAUAAUAAUCCACUAACAUUUUUCGUCUUCAUUUCUCAACAAUUACUGUGUAUUAUAUUCAACUAAAUAAUUUUCUAUCGUUCGUCCCGACGAGAAUUCGAACAAUUAGUUCAAUUUAUCAAAUUCAUCAACAACGAAUGUUUCAAAAAAAGGUACCAUAAUUUAUUUGAUUUUUAACCUUUUUCUUAAUGACUAAAAUACUUGAACUGCAAUAUGCCCUCUCCUAAUCUAUAAACGAUAUUUAAAUUGUGGUAAUCGUCGUCAAAAAAUCGAUUAACGUAAACCCAUCACCGCAAACAAUUCAGUAAUUACAAACGAAUCAUUACCUAAAGUUCGUUUUAAUUGCACCGUCUCGACAUAAGUCGGCGUAACAACCUAUUGGGCCCAAUUGGGUCAGUAUCUCCGAGCCACGUGUCUGCCACGCUUAUCCCCCAGGGCUUUAACACAGAUCCAUCAGGUUGACCGUAUCCCCCCCUUCCCCUGUUGCUGGGUCUGGUCAGUGAAAUUAGGUCCCAGAAAAUGUGAUUUUCAUUCGAAUGGAUUAUUCACAUUUUUUAAAAAUUCUUUUGCAGUUCAUUUAAAUUGAUAACGUGUUGUCAUUGACAUUCAUCCCUGUGUUCACGGGAAAAUGAUUUAUUCCCCAACAGUAGGUGAAAUGCGGUGAUUUGACAAGGGCAGAAUGACAAGGGCCAGAGUCCAGGGCCCCCACUGUAUCAUUCUAAACAUCAGGUUGUUACCUAUUAGAGUCUACUUAGGGGUCAGUGGAGACACCCGGUGCGCUCGUUGGGCGUCAGUGUCCAUAACGAUGAUGGUCCGGGCCCACUGACGUUCAUUCAAUUCCCCUCCCCGUUAACCCCAGACGGAAGGUGUACACGGGUGCCGGAUGAAUGCCCCGUGGGAACAGAACGCCCGCUAGUGCAAACGAUCCGCCAAGCGUUGCAGGAAACCCUCACUCCCACUAUUUUUUUUUUUUAAAUCCCUUAAUGUUGUUAUGGCGCUGUGAUUUUUGGCGCCAGUCAGCUUGUAAUUAUUCAAAUUUACUGGGAUUUUUUUAACGGUGAAUGGAAACGUGACAAUUAUUAUUCAUUAACCCACGAUAAAUUUCUGUGAUUUUAAAAUUGUCAUUAAAUUAUUUUCAUUAUGUGUGGAAUUUAUAAUUAAAUUGAAUAAGUGAAUUAUUGGCUGUGACCAGAGCCCCCCCCCCCAUUCCAUCGAUUCGUGCGUGCGAAUAUUCGGGUUUUUGGAACCACAAUAAGUCAAAAUGGCAAAAAAUUGAAUUAAAUUUGCGAAAAUGCCUCCGGGAACAAAGGGACCAGAAUAUUUUUAGUGUUUCUAAUCUCGCAAUUAAUUCAAACGAUUGAGUCACUUUGAAAGUGACCAGUCACCCAUAAAUAAUGAUCUCAAGUUAAUUUAUCUGCCUCAUAAAUAAUUGUCAGGGGAAAAAAGGCCCAUACACAAUUCACCAUUCACAAAAUCCAAAUAAUUACGUAACAGUCCAUGUGGUGCUUUCGCGUUCCAUUCAAUCGUCGAUUUCCUAUAAUUUAAUAUUCAUGAAUGGAUACGCAUAUCCGGCGUGAAUGGGAUUCUAUCACGUGCACUCACCAUUUUACAUGAAUUUUCUGUAAUUACGUGGAAUAACAAGAUGAGCGGCCAAUUUUUUAUUUUGGCCCAUCGAAUUAUGGGAGCAUUAAAAAUUUCAAAAUUAAGUUAUUAUCUCAAAGUUCAUUUAAAAAUGUCGAUGAAACUGAGAAAAGCUUUUGGAAAGCGCGCAAAACAUCGUUUCAUUCAGAAUUUAUUUUUUAAUUUGAAAAUUCUUCUGGGAAAUAAUUAAAAAAUAGAAAAUAUUAUUAUGUAGUUUAUAGUAAUUUAUAGAUUUUUGAGAAAAUGUCUCGAGUUUAUUGGAAAAAUUCUCUCAACUCGCAAAAACUAAUUUUUUUUAACAGCAGAUUCGUAAUAACAUCGCCACACGCGCACACCCGAAGGGCCUAAUGCCCUCCCCCACUCGUCUCCACCCCCCCAUUGCAUGCCCGAGUGAAUACAGAAGGUUAUAUACAUGUUUGUGCGUUGAAACGCACAAAUGGAGGGAGUCAAAGGUGGAGAGGGGAAGAGAGUGCCCCUUUUGCUACCUCCGAAUGGCCUCCGAGGCUACCGUGAGAACGAGCUGAGGCAUCGCGUCCCACACGCGGGGCCCUUCAGCCGGCACGGGGCCCAAUAGGGCCCACUGUAACACAUACACAGGAUAUACAAUUGACUUGGUGUGGGUUUACCACGUGAGA
This is a long non-coding RNA of Diachasmimorpha longicaudata, 3665 nucleotides long. RefSeq lists it as uncharacterized. The transcript has 3 exons. NCBI's taxonomy places the organism in Eukaryota, Metazoa, Arthropoda, Insecta, Hymenoptera, Braconidae. The record is from RefSeq and is a predicted model, not a curated record.